Molecule: ribosomal RNA, 483 nt
Filed under: uncultured bacterium
Lineage: Bacteria
Description: bacterial SSU rRNA
Rfam family: Bacterial small subunit ribosomal RNA
Source: RNAcentral
AUUGAACGCUGGCGGAAUGCUUUACACAUGCAAGUCGAACGGCAGCACGGGGCAACCUGGUGGGCGAGUGGCGAACGGGUGAGUAAUACAUCGGAACGUGCCCAAUCGUGGGGGAUAACGUAGCGAAAGUUACGCUAAUACCGCAUACGAUCUACGGAUGAAAGCGGGGGAUCGCAAGACCUCGCGCGAAUGGAGCGGCCGAUGUCAGAUUAGGUAGUUGGUGGGGUAAAGGCUCACCAAGCCAACGAUCUGUAGCUGGUCUGAGAGGACGACCAGCCACACUGGAACUGAGACACGGUCCAGACUCCUACGGGAGGCAGCAGUGGGGAAUUUUGGACAAUGGGCGCAAGCCUGAUCCAGCCAUUCCGCGUGCAGGAUGAAGGCCUUCGGGUUGUAAACUGCUUUUGUACGGAACGAAACGGUCUGCCCUAAUACGGCGGGCUAAUGACGGUACCGUAAGAAUAAGCACCGGCUAACUACGUG